This 253-nucleotide ribosomal RNA is filed under the name uncultured bacterium. RNAcentral describes it as "partial 16S ribosomal RNA". It matches the Rfam family "Bacterial small subunit ribosomal RNA", at positions 524 to 776 of the family's 1533-position model. The record is from RNAcentral.
UACAGAGGUCCCGAGCGUUGUUCGGAUUCACUGGGCGUAAAGGGUGCGUAGGUGGUGAGGUAAGUCGGAUGUGAAAUCUCCAGGCUCAACCUGGAAACUGCAUUGGAAACUACCUUGCUAGAGGAUUUGAGGGGGGAUUGGAAUACUUGGUGUAGCAGUGAAAUGCGUAGAUAUCAAGUGGAACACCAGUGGCGAAGGCGGCUCACUGGCCCGGUACUGACGCUGAGGUGCGAAGGCGUGGGGAGCAAACAGG